Molecule: non-coding RNA, 27 nt
Filed under: Mus musculus (house mouse)
Lineage: Eukaryota; Metazoa; Chordata; Mammalia; Rodentia; Muridae
Source: RNAcentral
GAAAAUACUACUUUGAAGGUGCUGCCU